Molecule: ribosomal RNA, 420 nt
Filed under: Chloroflexota bacterium
Lineage: Bacteria; Bacillati; Chloroflexota
Description: Chloroflexi bacterium partial 16S ribosomal RNA
Rfam family: Bacterial small subunit ribosomal RNA
Source: RNAcentral
UGGGGGAUAUUGCACAAUGGGCGAAAGCCUGAUGCAGCGACGCCGCGUGGGGGAUGAAGGCUUUCGGGUUGUAAACCUCUUUCGCUAUCGAACAAGGCCCGCUUAGGGUGGGUUGAGGGUAGGUGGAGAAGAAGCGCCGGCUAACUACGUGCCAGCAGCCGCGGUAAUACGUAGGGCGCGAGCGUUGUCCGGAAUUAUUGGGCGUAAAGGGCUUGAAGGCGGCUUGUUGCGCCUGCUGUGAAAACGCGGGGCUUAACUUCGCGCGUGCAGUGGGUACGGGCAGGCUUGAGUGUGGUAGGGGUGACUGGAAUUCCAGGUGUAGCGAUGGAAUGCGCAGAUAUCUGGAGGAACACCGAUGGCGAAGGCAGGUCACUGGGCCAUUACUGACGCUGAGGAGCGAAAGCAUGGGUAGCGAACAGG